AACGAAAUUGUGUCUCCGAGCGCCUGAGUGUGUGUGUGUGCGCGCCUGCGUGCACCAGUAUCUCUCUGCUCAUAUACUGGAAGAGGAGGCACCCAAUUCUCCUAGUGACAGCAGUCGGAGCACAACAACGGAUGCAACUCACCGCAUCACUGACGACACACAUACACAUACACACUCUCUCUGUGCGCUCUCCCCUUCAUGUCGCACUCCGAUAUGAACCCGCUCGAGAGGGCUGAUGUGUUUCACCUGUUUGACGCCGCCUCUCCGGAGGCCUCCGCAUCUGUCGCGGUGGACGGCGGAAGCGAUGCGGGCGCCGCACCCAUCACAGAGAUACAGUACACCGCGCUCCUGUACAUGAUGGCAGCGCAGCUGGGCAUCUCACACGCCGAGGCAGAACGCUUGUUUCCAUCCUACAAGCACGUGCCGCUGACUGUGCAGGCAUCGGCCGCCUCUGUCGACACCAAGUCAUCACAGCUCCCUCCCCUCUGCGCCCACCUCUUGCGGGAAGGCGCCGCGGCGUAUUACUGGGCUAAACCUGACGCCCACACCAUCCCCGAUGUACGAUGCUGCGAUGCCCGGGAGGUGCACAAGCAGGAAGUGUUUCCGGCGCCCGGUCACGGUCCACAUGUGCACUGUCUUCGCUGCUUCCAGCAGAGCAUUGAAAGGGCGCCGCCGCCUGGGCCAGGGGUGUCACCACCAGUCGUCGUUGACUACCGAGACGCCGGAAGCCUGCGGGCGCACCUUGAGGAGCAUCGGACGCGCUACGCGACGUGCCUGCGCAUCCUGGAAGACAGCAGCAGCAGCGACUGUGGCGCAGCGCAUGAUAUGCUCUCUGAAGACCUUGCAGUAUGCGAGGUGGCGGCCGAAGAGGCAAGCCGCCAUGUUUGCUUCAUGGCUUCACUGGGAACGGUGGCUUGCCCUUUGGUCGUCUUCUACUGCGCCGAGUGCGACUCCUUUGCCCCGCUGGUGCGCUUUCACGGGGUGAGCGACGCAGUGAUGAGCGGUGCAGGCCCGAAUGUGGCUGAUGCCUGGGAGGCCACGGAAGGCGCCAACAUGGUGCUGAGUCGGCUCCUGCUGAGCUGCCAUGUGCUGUACAUGUUCGAUGCAAAGCGCUUCAGCCGGCAGCGACGCAGCGCUCGACGUGGGGGUCGGAACUUGGCCACCAAUGCAACACGCAGCACACAGCACCUCCUCUACAUGUUCAAACCCCUUCUUUUCUCCAUGGAGACGGAGGAGCGUUUGAUAGACGAGUUCGAGUCCGGCGCAGAAUGCACGUAUGUCGCGGUGGUACUUCCGAAUGCAAGCGUGGCUGGUGAUCCCCCUCAGCUGCUCCUGCGAGAAGACACGGAAGGGGAGGGGUCAGACGCAGCGCCGGCGCAACCGCGCUUCUCUCCGGUGGUGAUUGGGUUCGCAAUGGAAUGGGCGACAGCCGAGCUUCUGGAGAAAAAGGUCGCAAUGGUGCUCGAGCACUCCAGCAGAGCAUCGGCUGUUGGCUCACAGAAAGGCGGAGAGCCGUCCUCCUGCUCGUCCGACCCAUCAUCGCCUACGCCGCCGGCCUUUCGCGUUACGGCGCGGAUGGUGUACAUUGUGGAUACGGGGGAGUGGGCGGUGGCGCACGUCCUCUACCACCGCCUCCUGCCGGCUAACACUGAUCUGCCGCUGAGCUACGUAGACAAAGCGGAUGACGGGAUUCGCGUGCAGGAUGUGUACGAGGUGGGUGUGCCGAUGCCGGCGUGGGCCGAUGGCUCCAUUAGCGAGAGCGAGCCGAGCGCGGCCGUUGAAUCGAGCGGCGAAGGCGAAGAGGAGGCGGAGGAGGGCAGCGACGACGCGGUGGAGACGGAGGCGCUUGCCAUUGAUGGAUGUCCCUACUCCAUGGAGUCGCGCACCAUCGACUUCUUCACGCGCAUGACAGUGCUGGCCAAGGCGAUGCACGAGCUGGGUACGUGGCGGCUUACGAUUGACGAGAACAAGAAUCUAUCGCUGCUUUAAAGCCUGAAGAGAGACGGCAUCCACAGCACUCCGUAGAUGGAGGCGCGAGUCGUUGGCAGCGGCGUUGGUGAUCAAGGCGACCUACGUUUUUUUCUUUCGCUUUUGGAUUCACGGGGUAUGCGCGACGUGGACAGCGGAUGCACGUCAAUCCCUACGCCGCCUAGCCUUUCCUGCCCUGCCCCCCGCCCCCCCUCCUAACUCAAUCUCUUCCCUUCCGCGCUGGCAAACGAACGAUAGUCGUCACGAUACCCACGCCGCAAGCGCGGUGUGGCGUCGCACGCGGUGUCAUCCACGUCAGUGCUUGCACGUCACGUCACAGCUCGGGGCGAAAGGGGGGAGAGGGCUACACUGAUGUGCAUCGGUGCUCAGGACUGCACCUGCACGCGGGGCACCUCUUUCCUGCAGGCCAUCACACCCAUCAUCGCACCACCCCUCUCUCUCUGUGUCGGUUUGUUCGACAUUGCCUCUCAUGUUGCGCUCGGCUCCUCGUCUCCACGGCAG
RNAcentral lists this unclassified non-coding RNA (2490 nucleotides) under Leishmania donovani. Its description in RNAcentral is "gene:LdHU3.25.1970(CDS-product:hypothetical_prote in_conserved)". The record is from RNAcentral. Lineage: Eukaryota; Euglenozoa; Kinetoplastea; Trypanosomatida; Trypanosomatidae.